AAAGGAUUAUGGUCUAGAGACGGGGGUAAAAUCAUCUUGCUUCAGGCUUAUUACUGUAGCGUACGAAUCCCCGUUCUUUCUCGAAAGUUUCUCGCUCCCAUUCCGCCAUUAGUGUCAAAGACCACAGGUGUAAUUGUUGUUAUUUCGCUGUUGAUAUUUCCUUUUCUUUUCGUUCUCUUGUUCUUUGAAGAUCGUUGACGUCGGCUUGUUCAGGUUGCAGUUGGAGUUAACAUAUGCUACACGGACAUCAAAGAAUGCUGUAACUUCUCGUACAAAGAACCCACCGCCCUUUGCUUUACAACUGAAAAAGGUGUAUAAAUGGCCCAAAAUGGAUCAAUGGUCGUGUAGAAAUGAAUUGGGUUUAUGCCAGCAUCUUUUCCUGAGAAUAGACCAUGACCUUAGCUUAAUUUUUCAAGGUGUGUUAAUAUUUGGGUUGUGUGAUGUAAUAUUUAUAACCAAUAGCAAUGGUAUUCUCUUAUUAGUCUAGUAAGUACUUGGUAUUCACAGUAAAAUAGAUAGAGUAAGUCAAUAGAAGUUGAUAUUUAUAUCAUUAUAAUUACUUACAAAUACUAUGGAUUGUGCUGUGGAAAUAAAGUGAUAUUGAUAUCGGCCACCCUAAGGUCACGGCACUGCCGGACCAAUCACAUGGUGCGAGAAAAAAACCCA
Actinia tenebrosa (Australian red waratah sea anemone) is the source of this 666-nucleotide long non-coding RNA. NCBI's taxonomy places the organism in Eukaryota, Metazoa, Cnidaria, Anthozoa, Actiniaria, Actiniidae. The record is from RefSeq and is a predicted model, not a curated record.